UUUUGGCUUAUUUUUUUUCUGCUCUGGGCAUUGCAGUGCUGCAUUUCUCACCCAGACUGUUGCUAGGAGACACAAUGUGCUUCAGCAGCAUCACCUGGCUCCUGGGUGGGGUGCUUGCACCUCCAGUGCUCUGUCAGAAAGCUGAUGGGAAACACUGCCUUUCCUUGUGCCUGCAGUGACUAUUGGGAGCCAUCGCCAUGCCUGUGUAGUGGUUGGAAAUACGUCCUCCAGAUCCCGGCUGUCAGUGAGUUUGGCCAAGCUUUUCCCUACGAGAACUGCCGUGGCCCCUCCUGGAUGACUGCAGCAGGAAAACUGAGUGCAAGCUGGAAAGCAUUAAAACUCCUGACACUUCCAAACUUUGAAAGCAAAACAAUGAAAUGAGAAAAAGCGGAAAUCCUGGACUGAUGAGAACUCUGGGAAGCCAAUUAUGUUGCAGAAAUGGAUGCUUAUAGCUCCGUGCUGAAGCAGAAGAUGCAACGCCACAUUUAAAAUGUGUGACAAAUUAUCUACAGUGAGCCUUCAUAGCACCACACCAAUAAAUCAACGUUAUGUUUAAUGGGACACUGAUGUGAAGGCAAUAUUGGGAUUCAAAUACA
Molecule: long non-coding RNA, 596 nt
Filed under: Gallus gallus (chicken)
Lineage: Eukaryota; Metazoa; Chordata; Aves; Galliformes; Phasianidae
Description: long non-coding RNA NONGGAT006489
Source: RNAcentral